UGGGGAAUAUUGGACAAUGGGCGCAAGCCUGAUCCAGCCAUGCCGCGUGAGUGAUGAAGGCCCUAGGGUUGUAAAGCUCUUUCACCGGUGAAGAUAAUGACGGUAACCGGAGAAGAAGCCCCGGCUAACUUCGUGCCAGCAGCCGCGGUAAUACGAAGGUGGCUAGCGUUGUUCGGAUUUACUGGGCGUAAAGCGCACGUAGGCGGACUUUUAAGUCAGGGGUGACAUCCCGGGGCUCAACCCCGGAACUGCCUUUGAUACUGGAAGUCUUGAGUAUGGUAGAGGUGAGUGGAAUUCCGAGUGUAGAGGUGAAAUUCGUAGAUAUUCGGAGGAACACCAGUGGCGAAGGCGGCUCACUGGACCAUUACUGACGCUGAGGUGCGAAAGCGUGGGGAGCAAACAGG
RNAcentral lists this ribosomal RNA (404 nucleotides) under Actinomycetes bacterium. RNAcentral's name for it is "Actinobacteria bacterium partial 16S ribosomal RNA". It matches the Rfam family "Bacterial small subunit ribosomal RNA", at positions 355 to 776 of the family's 1533-position model. Lineage: Bacteria; Bacillati; Actinomycetota; Actinomycetes. The record is from RNAcentral.